This 396-nucleotide ribosomal RNA is filed under the name uncultured bacterium. Its description in RNAcentral is "partial 16S ribosomal RNA". It matches the Rfam family "Bacterial small subunit ribosomal RNA", at positions 523 to 918 of the family's 1533-position model. The record is from RNAcentral.
AUACAGAGGGUGCAAGCGUUAAUCGGAUUUACUGGGCGUAAAGCGCGCGUAGGUGGCUAAUUAAGUCAAAUGUGAAAUCCACGAGCUUAACUUGGGAAUUGCAUUCGAUACUGGUUAGCUAGAGUAUGGGAGAGGAUGGUAGAAUUCAUGGUGUAGCGGUGAAAUGCGUAGAGAUCUGGAGGAAUACCGAUGGCGAAGGCAGCCAUCUGGCCUAAUACUGACACUGAGGUGCGAAAGCAUGGGGAGCAAACAGGAUUAGAUACCCUGGUAGUCCAUGCCGUAAACGAUGUCUACUAGCCGUUGGGGCCCUUGAGGCUUUAGUGGCGCAGCUAACGCGAUAAGUAGACCGCCUGGGGAGUACGGUCGCAAGACUAAAACUCAAAUGAAUUGGCGGGG